This 472-nucleotide ribosomal RNA is filed under the name uncultured bacterium. Its description in RNAcentral is "bacterial SSU rRNA". It matches the Rfam family "Bacterial small subunit ribosomal RNA", at positions 335 to 801 of the family's 1533-position model. The record is from RNAcentral.
ACUCCUACGGGAGGCAGCAGUGGGGAAUAUUGCACAAUGGGGGAAACCCUGAUGCAGCCAUGCCGCGUGUGUGAAGAAGGCCUUGGUUGUAAAGCACUUUCAGUAGGGAGGAAGGUAGUGUAGUUAACACCUGCAUUAUUUGACGUUACCUACAGAAGAAGCACCGGCUAACUCCGUGCCAGCAGCCGCGGUAAUACGGAGGGUGCGAGCGUUAAUCGGAAUUACUGGGCGUAAAGCGCAUGCAGGCGGCCUGUUAAGUCAGAUGUGAAAGCCCGGGGUCUUAACCUCGGAAUUGCAUUUGAAACUGGCAGGCUAGAGUCUUGUAGAGGGGUUAGAAUUUCAGGUGUAGCGGUGAAAUGCGUAGAGAUCUGAAGGAAUACCAGUGGCGAAGGCGGCCCCUGGACAAAGACUGACGCUCAGAUGCGAAAGGCGUGGGAGCAAACAGGAUUAGAUACCCCGUGGUAGACUGUCA